Molecule: long non-coding RNA, 1598 nt
Organism: Dromaius novaehollandiae (emu)
Lineage: Eukaryota; Metazoa; Chordata; Aves; Casuariiformes; Dromaiidae
Source: Ensembl
AUGUUCUCGAAGACAGUCACAUGUGCAUACAUGCAGGACAAAUUCAGUUCUGCCAUUUACUACCUUUUAGCCACUUCACUUGUAUGUUCUCUUCACUGUACUCUUUUCAUUAGAAUUUCUGUGCUUGUGUGUUUUUCUUGCCUAAAUUUUUAUUCAAGCAGACUCUACCCCCUUCACAGUGUAACUGAUGAGGAUAGGCUUCUAUCCUGUACGUGGACCAGCAUUCAUGGAACACUGAAACCUACCAGCCAAGAUGUUCUCAGACAGCAGAGCAACRAUGCUGACUUGUGUGAUUAUCACCAACUGAGGUAAUAUUUUUUGGCUCAAGAACUUUGAAUGCUAAGGAAAGUGCAAUUUCCGAAUGACACUGAGGAAAUCCUCCUUUUAGGAAAAACUGUGUGUGGGAACUUYCCUGAAAGCAUCCUCAGGUAUGUAAAUGCUACUUUAUGGGAUCUGCUAUAGAUCUGAUAGUACAGAUAUUUCUUACACAGAUUUACUUGCAUUAAUAGGAUUUUUCCACUAACAAGAUUACUGUGCUGCAUUUUUGUUGUCUCUUAAGUUGGGUCUGUCACGGAUACUGAUGUUUUGAGAUACUCUGCCUUUAUGGUGUUAUCCRUCUGUGUUAACGACGCUUAUGCAAGCACUACUGUGGACCCCAGAACCUUCAGUAUAUACGACAGCAUAUUGUUAAGCCGUGUCAGAUUUGAUACUCGGUGGUGGUGGUAGCUGGAGGAGGCUUGUAUCUGUGUGGGCUUCCUUCCACUGGAAGCACUGGCUUCUACCGGAAUGGCUAUGAAGGRAUGUUUUAUGAGAUGUCUCUAGUUCAGGCACGGUUUGGUUUUAAGCUUUCCCAUGACAUUCCUGACUAAUYGCACCUAAAAUGGUGUUUUAGUUCAGGAGCUGAAUGACAGGCAAGUCAGAUGUCCAUACAUCCAGAGCAGAGUGGACACCUGAGAUGUGGGACCUCACUGAUCAUUACAGUCCAUCAGAGAGAUACUGUUAGGGCCCUGAUCUCAGUGUUUGCAGUCAUUUAGCUGGCAUCAUUCCUGUUCACUGUUUAGCACCAGAACUUGGGUGCUGUUGGAAAAAGAAUUUUUGUAUCUGUAUAAUUUAUUCUUCUAGUGGAUUGAGCUUGAGUUGAUUGCUAAAUACUCAUGUUAGGCAAACCAGGAAAUCCACAUCAAGUACCACUUAACAUAUUUGCAUUUGUGAAAGGCAGGCUAUACAGUAAUUAAACACAUGUGCAAUAGCAGAAUAAUUCUUUGGCUUUUUCAAUGAGAAGUCUCCAAAUGAAAAUGACAGAAGUGUCACUUGGGGAUGCACUGCUAAAUACAUUUCCUGCUAGCAGCUGAUCUAUGCUAGAACAGUUGCUGGUACUUGUGAGGUACAAUGUUUAUAGAUAAAAUUAGUUCCAAAAUACGCAAUCAAAUAUACCAAACAAUAUUCAUGACCUGGUUGCAUAUAAUGUGCUCUGUAUUAACUGAAUUUUUUUCCUCAGAGUUCUUGAUUUGAUUUGGGCAUUUCCAAUAUGUGUAGAAAGGAAGUAUAAGAACCACAUAAAGAAUAAACUUCACUGUAGUAGUUUAGAAAAUUAUAUU